RNAcentral lists this ribosomal RNA (253 nucleotides) under uncultured bacterium. Its description in RNAcentral is "partial 16S ribosomal RNA". It matches the Rfam family "Bacterial small subunit ribosomal RNA", at positions 524 to 776 of the family's 1533-position model. The record is from RNAcentral.
UACGUAGGGUGCGAGCGUUAAUCGGAAUUACUGGGCGUAAAGCGUGCGCAGGCGGUUCGUUGUGUCUGAUGUGAAAGCCCCGGGCUCAACCUGGGAAUGGCAUUGGAAACUGGCGAGCUGGAGUGUGGCAGAGGGGGGUGGAAUUCCGUGUGUAGCAGUGAAAUGCGUAGAGAUGCGGAGGAACACCGAUGGCGAAGGCAGCCCCCUGGGCCAACACUGACGCUCAGGCACGAAAGCGUGGGGAGCAAACAGG